UGGGGAAUUUUGGACAAUGGGGGAAACCCUGAUCCAGCCAUCCCGCGUGUGCGAUGAAGGCCUUCGGGUUGUAAAGCACUUUUGGCAGGAAAGAAACGUCGCGGGUUAAUACCCCGCGAAACUGACGGUACCUGCAGAAUAAGCACCGGCUAACUACGUGCCAGCAGCCGCGGUAAUACGUAGGGUGCAAGCGUUAAUCGGAAUUACUGGGCGUAAAGCGUGCGCAGGCGGUUCGGAAAGAAAGAUGUGAAAUCCCAGAGCUUAACUUUGGAACUGCAUUUUUAACUACCGGGCUAGAGUGUGUCAGAGGGAGGUGGAAUUCCGCGUGUAGCAGUGAAAUGCGUAGAUAUGCGGAGGAACACCGAUGGCGAAGGCAGCCUCCUGGGAUAACACUGACGCUCAUGCACGGAAGCGUGGGGAGCAAACAGGAUUAGAUACCCUGGUAGUCCACGCCCUAAACGAUGUCAACUAGCUGUUGGGGCCUUCGGGCCUUGGUAGCGCAGCUAACGCGUGAAGUUGACCGCCUGGGGAGUACGGUCGCAAGAUUAAAACUCAAAUGAAUUGACGGGG
This 570-nucleotide ribosomal RNA is filed under the name uncultured bacterium. RNAcentral's name for it is "partial 16S ribosomal RNA". It matches the Rfam family "Bacterial small subunit ribosomal RNA", at positions 355 to 918 of the family's 1533-position model. The record is from RNAcentral.